AAGUCGUAACAAGGUAACCGUAGGUGAACCUGCGGUUGGAUCAUUAACAAAUUCAACCAAAACGAAUUGUCUUUUGACAUUUUCGGUUUGAACACCUGUGAACUGUUAUAGUCUCUGGUGGGUAAAGUCUUGAGUAAUUGAGAUGGAUGUAUGUCCACCCACCGAUUUUAAACUUGUAUUAUAUUUGUCUUGUAAAAGUUAUUAUUUAAUAAUAAACAACUUUUGGCAACGGAUCUCUUGGCUCUC
RNAcentral lists this unclassified non-coding RNA (246 nucleotides) under fungal sp. Its description in RNAcentral is "partial internal transcribed spacer region". The stretch from base 1 to 46 matches the Rfam family "Eukaryotic small subunit ribosomal RNA", at positions 1786 to 1831 of the family's 1831-position model. The record is from RNAcentral. Lineage: Eukaryota; Fungi.